GAAGGUAUAGCUCAAGUGGUAGAGCACAUGCUUAGCAUGCAUGAGGCCCUGGGUUCAAUCCCCAGUCCCUCA
Molecule: transfer RNA, 72 nt
Filed under: Camelus bactrianus (Bactrian camel)
Lineage: Eukaryota; Metazoa; Chordata; Mammalia; Artiodactyla; Camelidae
Also listed under: 3 other names
Rfam family: tRNA
About the family: Transfer RNA (tRNA) molecules are approximately 80 nucleotides in length. Their secondary structure includes four short double-helical elements and three loops (D, anti-codon, and T loops). Further hydrogen bonds mediate the characteristic L-shaped molecular structure. tRNAs have two regions of fundamental functional importance: the anti-codon, which is responsible for specific mRNA codon recognition, and the 3' end, to which the tRNAs corresponding amino acid is attached (by aminoacyl-tRNA synthetases). tRNAs cope with the degeneracy of the genetic code in two manners: having more than one tRNA (with a specific anti-codon) for a particular amino acid; and 'wobble' base-pairing, i.e. permitting non-standard base-pairing at the 3rd anti-codon position.
Source: Rfam by way of RNAcentral